RNAcentral lists this microRNA (20 nucleotides) under Ciona intestinalis (vase tunicate). RNAcentral describes it as "cin-miR-4112-3p". The record is from miRBase by way of RNAcentral. Lineage: Eukaryota; Metazoa; Chordata; Ascidiacea; Phlebobranchia; Cionidae.
UAUGUAAUGAUGAUGUAUGG